UUAUCUACAUGUCAUGUCUGUGUUUAUUUCAAGUGCAAACAGUAGAACUGUCACAAAUGAAUAUAUCUAUGACUUUGCACCUGCACUUAAUUUAGACAUUUUUAAGCAUUUUAGGUCAAAAUCAGAGUGUAACUUUUACUUUUCAUACUAAAUGAAAUAUUCAGCCCCAAAUAGCACUUGAUUACAGAAGAGUUUUCACUUGUUAACCUGACCGAUACAGCAACCAUCACACCAAACAUUCCAAAACCUGUUUCAUUAGAUAGAAACAAUCAAUGAAUUUGGGCAACCAGUAUCUGAUUGAAUACUAUAGCUAAAAGUGUGUCACAGCUUUGUUCUGAUCGGUUGUUUCUGUUUAUGUGUUUUGUACGCUGUGUGUUUUGUCAUUGGUUUGUUUUGACAGGUGGCCAUGCACGUACCAGUCAUUGUCUUAAGCCCAGGAUACACUGCAAGAUUUUUGCUCUCCUAUAGACGGGUUGCACGGCGACGACAUUAACUGGUUGCGCGCGCAACCGAGAGGCAGAAAGAAGAGACAUGCAUUGUGUUGUAUGCUAGUAGCCGUGUCUAUUGUGCCCUGAUGCCAUCUGCCCCGUUCUCCCAGCCUCAUCUUCCCUCUCUAUGCCUAGCUUCACAUCGGUUGGCUCUUCUUUGGCUCUCUUCAUCCCGUCUGCCUGCCUCGCUGCUCUCCCUGAUAACAUUUCCUGACUGAUGCCUUGCACUCUUACUCUUUCUGCAAGGUGCCAUUCUCAGCAGUGACUCAAUUUAGUGCCACCCUGCUGCUUGGCAUUGCACUUCUGAGGUCAUCACCAUCUUUCUUCAGCCAACCAAAAUGAUUCUCACCAACCACCCCAGCUCUGCUAACCUUGAUGUUUGAGAUCUGCUGUUUUUGAAGCAGGGGACCACUGUCCAUUAAAGGCUUCAUAAACCAUUUAACAAAAUCACAUAAGAUAGGGUAGUUCAUACUCC
Molecule: non-coding RNA, 963 nt
Organism: Misgurnus anguillicaudatus (oriental weatherfish)
Lineage: Eukaryota; Metazoa; Chordata; Actinopteri; Cypriniformes; Cobitidae
Source: RefSeq, a predicted model, not a curated record